AAUGAACGCUGGCGGCAGGCUUAACACAUGCAAGUCGAGCGCCCCGCAAGGGGAGCGGCAGACGGGUGAGUAACGCGUGGGAACGUACCCUUAUCUUCGUGAUAGCCCCGGGAAACUGGAAUUAAUACCGAAUGUGCCCUUUGGGGGAAAGAUUUAUCGGAUAAGGAUCGGCCCGCGUUGGAUUAGCUAGUUGGUGGGGUAAAGGCCUACCAAGGCGACGAUCCAUAGCUGGUCUGAGAGGAUGAUCAGCCACAUUGGGACUGAGACACGGCCCAAACUCCUACGGGAGGCAGCAGUGGGGAAUAUUGGACAAUGGGCGCAAGGCUGAUGCAGCCAUGCCGCGUGAGUGAUGAAGGCCGUAGGGUUGUAAAGCUCUUUCACCGGAGAAGAUAAUGACGGUAUCCGGAGAAGAAGCCCCGGCUAACUUCGUG
RNAcentral lists this ribosomal RNA (431 nucleotides) under uncultured bacterium. RNAcentral's name for it is "partial 16S ribosomal RNA". It matches the Rfam family "Bacterial small subunit ribosomal RNA", at positions 29 to 507 of the family's 1533-position model. The record is from RNAcentral.